This 253-nucleotide ribosomal RNA is filed under the name uncultured bacterium. RNAcentral's name for it is "partial 16S ribosomal RNA". It matches the Rfam family "Bacterial small subunit ribosomal RNA", at positions 524 to 776 of the family's 1533-position model. The record is from RNAcentral.
UACGAAGGGGGCUAGCGUUGCUCGGAAUUACUGGGCGUAAAGGGCGCGUAGGCGGAUAUUUAAGUUGGGGGUGAAAUCCCGGGGCUCAACCUCGGAAUUGCCUUCAAAACUGGAUAUCUUGAGUUCGGGAGAGGUGAGUGGAACUCCGAGCGUAGAGGUGAAAUUCGUAGAUAUUCGGAAGAACACCAGUGGCGAAGGCGACUCACUGGCCCGAUACUGACGCUGAGGCGCGAAAGCGUGGGGAGCAAACAGG